This 251-nucleotide ribosomal RNA is filed under the name uncultured prokaryote. RNAcentral describes it as "partial 16S rRNA". It matches the Rfam family "Bacterial small subunit ribosomal RNA", at positions 525 to 775 of the family's 1533-position model. The record is from RNAcentral.
ACGUAGGGAGCAAGCGUUGUCCGGAUUUACUGGGUGUAAAGGGUGCGUAGGCGGAUUGGCAAGUCAGAAGUGAAAUCAAUGGGCUUAACCCAUGAACUGCUUUUGAAACUGUUAGUCUUGAGUGAAGUAGAGGUAGGCGGAAUUCCCGGUGUAGCGGUAAAAUCCGUAGAGAUCGGGAGGAACACCGGUGGCGAAGGCGGCCUACUGGGGUAUAACUGACGCUGAGGCGCGAAAGUGUGGGUAGCAAACAG